UACAGAGUUCUUGAUGAUGAAUUCUUCUUUAGAAUUUCUAGAACACACAUGAUCUUUUCUAGAAAAUUUUCUGUCACUUCUUUCCAUAUUUGUUCCCCAUAAAAUGAAUUGCCUUUCUUCUUUUGGUGGUUUAAAUACCUUGGCAUCAUUUUCUUUUGCUGAUUUGUAUCCCGUAGAACAUCCAACCACGAAACACUUCACCAUUUCACCACACGAUGUAUCAAAAACACAUCACCACAACUUAAAGAAUGAAAUUAUAAAAAGAAACAACGAAAUGGAAUCUAAAAAUCUACUAUCAACAAUGGCAGACGCUUCACGUCAGAGAAUUCGCGCCAAAUUCCAGGGCCACUAACACUAGAGAACCUAGAGGCAGAAGUGUAAACAAUUCCAGAAAGUUGGCACAGUUUUAAGAGGGGGCGCCCAACUGCGUUCGCCCACCUCUCCUAAUACUGUACAUCGUGGUGUUUCUUUAGAUUGAGACGUUUUCGUGGAAUUUAUUGUGCUAAUAUUGCAAGUGCUGGCUGGACCUUCGCUGAAGGCGUCUUCCUUGCUUGAAUUGAUAAAUUUGUAGCAAAUGAAAGGAACAUUCCGCUCAAUGGUCUGGUGAUGGGCACUCAUGGUUGAGGAAGCUUUCAGCGAUUCCACAACCACACAAGUAAUGAAGUACUAGAACAUAUGUAAUUUCACUUCCUUUCUAAUUUCUAAGUUAAUAGAAGCUGUCGUUGACCAUUUAGAUUGCCACAGCUUUCACCAAACAACAAGUACUACGAGCCCAGGCAGUUUGAGUCGACUAAGUGUCUAAGUCUAUGUGUUGUUAUUGAACACUUCAUUGACGGGGACAGAAGUUAACUACAUAUUCCAAGAUGCACUAGGCCCCCUCAGGAAAAAAUACUCCAUACGUUUCAUCAGAUGAGUCAGCUGCUAUCACUGUUUCUUCGUUUCCUUUAUGGUGACCAUAUUGGUCAAACUACUCUCAGUAAUGAGCAACUAAUAGAGUUGUUAAUCAUGGCUGGCCGGUUUGAGGUCGAACAACUUAGUUCCGGCUUGAAGAUAUCCUCGGAGGUGAAGUUUCUAGGCCUGAGCUUUUGCGGUUAGCCCUGGCGGCUGACUGUGACAUUAAUAGAGCCGUCAACUAUUACCUUGCGCAGCCGGAUCCUAGCACAGACUAAGAGGGUAAAGACUACGAUCGGGGAUAGGGCUGAGAGGAAUGCUUGAAGCUAUGCUCGUCCUAUGCCGUAUGGUGGCGCGUCGAGCACACAAAACGAAAGCCAUUAUUUUUCCUCUUUCCCUACUGAUUUGAGUCUUCACACACCGUAAGUUUAUAAUUAAACCAUUAACAUUUCAAUAGUGAUGUUUUGUGUAAAUAUAGCUUAGAAAUCCCCCAUGUUGUGUGAAUUUUUUUAAAUUUCUAUGUGAUCUCUAGACACAAUCUAUAAAUUCCUUUAUUAAACCCCCUUUUUGCCCAU
This is a long non-coding RNA of Daphnia pulicaria, 1466 nucleotides long. RefSeq lists it as uncharacterized. The record is from RefSeq and is a predicted model, not a curated record. The transcript has 3 exons. Lineage: Eukaryota; Metazoa; Arthropoda; Branchiopoda; Diplostraca; Daphniidae.